Long non-coding RNA from Lycium ferocissimum, 503 nucleotides. RefSeq lists it as uncharacterized. The record is from RefSeq and is a predicted model, not a curated record. NCBI's taxonomy places the organism in Eukaryota, Viridiplantae, Streptophyta, Magnoliopsida, Solanales, Solanaceae. The transcript is spliced from 3 exons.
AAUGGAGUCAUUCAAAAGCCUAACUUGAGUGAAAUUUCACAAGGAAUCCAUUGGAGGCAUCAAAAACGAGUUUUGGGAUCGUUUGGCACCAGAAACGAGGCAAAACAGCUGGGCGUUUUUGCUAUUAAUGUUGUUUGGGGUUUCUGUCAUCUUAAAUGCUUGAGUUUAGGAGAAUUCAAGGAUGUUCUUCAAGUUUCUUUCAUGGGACUUUAAUUAUUUGGAGACUCAAAGGAAGGGCAAGCGUGUGGCUGACGGUUCGUGACUACUUAUUUCGGCAUUCCAGAUUACGCAUUGGGUGAGACAUUGAUCCCUCGUUAGCGGUCCCGAGGCAGACUCGAUAGCUUUCCAGGGUGAGCAUAUGGGACUCAGCUACUCGGAUUGGCUAUUCUUCAGCUUUGUCUUAUCUUCUUCCAAGAGACAUUUUAUUUUUGUUUUAGACUAAUUUUAUCAGAAUUUUGGAAAUGUAUUUAUGAUUAGUGCUCUUGUACGAUUCAGACCAUGAG